GGCGGGGUGGCAGAGUGGUGAUGCCACGGUCUGCAAAGCCGUGCACGACGGUUCGAUUCCGUUCCCCCGCCUCCA
This 75-nucleotide transfer RNA is filed under the name Cupriavidus respiraculi. RNAcentral's name for it is "tRNA-Cys(gca)". It matches the Rfam family "tRNA". From Rfam's summary of the family: Transfer RNA (tRNA) molecules are approximately 80 nucleotides in length. Their secondary structure includes four short double-helical elements and three loops (D, anti-codon, and T loops). Lineage: Bacteria; Pseudomonadati; Pseudomonadota; Betaproteobacteria; Burkholderiales; Burkholderiaceae. The record is from RNAcentral.